RNAcentral lists this ribosomal RNA (373 nucleotides) under uncultured bacterium. Its description in RNAcentral is "bacterial SSU rRNA". It matches the Rfam family "Bacterial small subunit ribosomal RNA", at positions 525 to 896 of the family's 1533-position model. The record is from RNAcentral.
ACGGAGGGUGCAAGCGUUAUUCGGAUUUAUUGGGCGUAAAGAGCGUGUAGGCGGCCGGUCAAGCCAGAUGUGAAAGCCCAGGGCUUAACCCUGGAAGUGCAUUUGGAACUGGUUGGCUUGAGUUCGGGAGAGGGAAGUGGAAUUCCGGGUGUAGAGGUGAAAUUCGUAGAUAUCCGGAGGAACACCGGUGGCGAAGGCGACUUCCUGGACCGAAACUGACGCUGAGACGCGAAAGCGUGGGGAGCAAACAGGAUUAGAUACCCUGGUAGUCCACGCUGUAAACGAUGGGCGCUAGGUGUGGGGGGUUUUUAAUCCCUCCGUGCCGGAGCUAACGCAUUAAGCGCCCCGCCUGGGGAGUACGGCCGCAAGGUUA